This 62-nucleotide non-coding RNA is filed under the name Gorilla gorilla gorilla (western lowland gorilla). Its description in RNAcentral is "Small Cajal body specific RNA 4 (ENSGGOG00000036541.1)". It matches the Rfam family "Small Cajal body specific RNA 4", at positions 68 to 129 of the family's 129-position model. From Rfam's summary of the family: scaRNAs are a specific class of small nuclear RNAs which localise to the Cajal bodies and guide the modification of RNA polymerase II transcribed spliceosomal RNAs U1, U2, U4, U5 and U12. ACA26 belongs to the H/ACA box class of guide RNAs as it has the predicted hairpin-hinge-hairpin-tail structure, conserved H/ACA-box motifs and is found associated with GAR1. Its is predicted to guide the pseudouridylation of residues U39 and U41 in U2 snRNA. Lineage: Eukaryota; Metazoa; Chordata; Mammalia; Primates; Hominidae. The record is from Rfam by way of RNAcentral.
GGGUUGGAGAGAGCAGCCUUCACUGAAGAGUAUCACAGGGCUGACUGUACUACCCAACACUA